This 419-nucleotide ribosomal RNA is filed under the name bacterium. Its description in RNAcentral is "partial 16S ribosomal RNA". It matches the Rfam family "Bacterial small subunit ribosomal RNA", at positions 355 to 776 of the family's 1533-position model. The record is from RNAcentral.
UGGGGGAUAUUGCACAAUGGGCGAAAGCCUGAUGCAGCGACGCCGCGUGGGGGAUGAAGGCCUUCGGGUUGUAAACUUCUUUUGCUCUGAACAAGGCGCACCAUGGGGUGUGUUGAGUGUAGGGGUUGAUUAGCGCCGGCUAACUACGUGCCAGCAGCCGCGGUAAUACGUAGGGCGCGAGCGUUGUCCGGAAUUAUUGGGCGUAAAGGGCUUGUAGGUGGCUGGUUGCGUCUGUCGUGAAAGCUCAUGGCUUAACUGUGGGUUUGCGGUGGGUACGGGCUGGCUUGAGUGCAGUAGGGGAGGCUGGAAUGCCUGGUGUAUCGGUGGAAUGCGCAGAUAUCAGGAGGAAUACCGGUGGCGAAGGCGGGUCUCUGGGCUGUUACUGACACUGAGGAGCGAAAGCAUGGGGAGCGAACAGG